AUACGAAGGUCCCAAGCGUUAUUCGGAAUCACUGGGCGUAAAGAGUACGUAGGCGGUUUGGUAAGUCAGGUGUGAAAUCCCGGAGCUCAACCCCGGAACUGCAUCCGAUACUGCCAGACUUGAGUAAUGGAGAGGCAGGUGGAAUUCUCGGUGUAGCAGUGAAAUGCGUGGAUAUCGAGAGGAAGACCAAUGGCGAAGGCAGCCUGCUGGACAUUUACUGACGCUGAGGUACGAAGGCUAGGGGAGCGAAAGGGAUUAGAAACCCCGGUAGUCC
Molecule: ribosomal RNA, 274 nt
Filed under: uncultured bacterium
Lineage: Bacteria
Description: partial 16S ribosomal RNA
Rfam family: Bacterial small subunit ribosomal RNA
Source: RNAcentral